GUGCCAGCAGCCGCGGUAAUACGGAGGGUGCAAGCGUUAAUCGGAAUUACUGGGCGUAAAGCGCGCGUAGGUGGCUUGAUAAGCCGGUUGUGAAAGCCCCGGGCUCAACCUGGGAACGGCAUCCGGAACUGUCAGGCUAGAGUGCAGGAGAGGAAGGUAGAAUUCCCGGUGUAGCGGUGAAAUGCGUAGAGAUCGGGAGGAAUACCAGUGGCGAAGGCGGCCUUUCUGGACUGACACUGACACUGAGGUGCGAAAGCGUGGGUAGCAAAACAGGAUUAGAUACCCUGGUAGUCCACGCCGUAAACGAUGUCGACCAGCCGUUGGGUGCCUAGAGCACUUUGUGGCGAAGUUAACGCGAUAAGUCGACCGCCUGGGGAGUACGGCCGCAGGGUUAAAACUCAAAUGAAUUGACGG
This 414-nucleotide ribosomal RNA is filed under the name Halomonas sp. RNAcentral's name for it is "bacterial SSU rRNA". It matches the Rfam family "Bacterial small subunit ribosomal RNA", at positions 505 to 916 of the family's 1533-position model. The record is from RNAcentral. Lineage: Bacteria; Pseudomonadati; Pseudomonadota; Gammaproteobacteria; Oceanospirillales; Halomonadaceae.